ACGCUCGACACCUACGGGAGGCAGCAGUGGGGAAUAUUGCACAAUGGGGGAAACCCUGAUGCAGCGACGCCGCGUGAGCGAAGAAGUAUCUCGGUAUGUAAAGCUCUAUCAGCAGGGAAGAAGAUGACGGUACCUGACUAAGAAGCACCGGCUAAAUACGUGCCUGCAGCGCGGUAAUCUGAGCGGGCUGGCAAGGC
Molecule: ribosomal RNA, 197 nt
Filed under: uncultured bacterium
Lineage: Bacteria
Description: partial 16S ribosomal RNA
Rfam family: Bacterial small subunit ribosomal RNA
Source: RNAcentral